This 253-nucleotide ribosomal RNA is filed under the name uncultured bacterium. RNAcentral describes it as "partial 16S ribosomal RNA". It matches the Rfam family "Bacterial small subunit ribosomal RNA", at positions 524 to 776 of the family's 1533-position model. The record is from RNAcentral.
UACGAACCGUCCAAACGUUAUUCGGAUUUACUGGGCUUAAAGGGUGCGUAGGCGGCGCGGAAAGUUGGGUGUGAAAUUCCUCGGCUUAACCGAGGAACAGCGCCCAAAACUACCGUGCUCGAGGGAGAUAGAGGUGAGCGGAACUUAGGGUGGAGCGGUGAAAUGCGUUGAUAUCCUAAGGAACACCGGUGGCGAAAGCGGCUCACUGGAUCUCUUCUGACGCUGAGGCACGAAAGCUAGGGGAGCGAACGGG